Molecule: ribosomal RNA, 433 nt
Filed under: uncultured bacterium
Lineage: Bacteria
Description: bacterial SSU rRNA
Rfam family: Bacterial small subunit ribosomal RNA
Source: RNAcentral
UACGGAAGGCAGCAGGGGGGAAUAUUGCACAAUGGGCGCAAGCCUGAUGCAGCCAUGCCGCGUGUAUGAAGAAGGCCUUCGGGUUGUAAAGUACUUUCAGUCGUGAGGAAGGUGUUAAGGUUAAUAACCUUAGCAAUUGACGUUAGCGACAGAAGAAGCACCGGCUAACUCCGUGCCAGCAGCCGCGGUAAUACGGAGGGUGCGAGCGUUAAUCGGAAUUACUGGGCGUAAAGGGCACGCAGGCGGUUAAUUAAGUUGGAUGUGAAAUCCCCGGGCUUAACCUGGGAAUGGCAUUCAAGACUGGUUAGCUAGAGUCUUGUAGAGGGGGUAGAAUUCCAUGUGUAGCGGUGAAAUGCGUAGAGAUGUGGAGGAAUACCGGUGGCGAAGGCGGCCCCUGGACAAAGACUGACGCUCAUGUGCGAAAGCGUGGGGA